This 468-nucleotide ribosomal RNA is filed under the name uncultured bacterium. Its description in RNAcentral is "partial 16S ribosomal RNA". It matches the Rfam family "Bacterial small subunit ribosomal RNA", at positions 28 to 507 of the family's 1533-position model. The record is from RNAcentral.
GACGAACGCUGGCGGCGUGCUUAACACAUGCAAGUCGAACGGAAAGGCCCUGCUCUUGUGGGGUGCUCGAGUGGCGAACGGGUGAGUAACACGUGAGUAACCUGCCCUUGACUUUGGGAUAACUUCAGGAAACUGGGGCUAAUACCGGAUAGGAGCUCCUGCUGCAUGGUGGGGGUUGGAAAGUUUCGGCGGUUGGGGAUGGACUCGCGGCUUAUCAGCUUGCUGGUGGGGUAGUGGCUUACCAAGGCUUGGACGGGUAGCCGGCCUGGGAGGGUGACCGGCCACAUUGGGACUGAGAUACGGCCCAGACUCGUACGGGAGGCAGCAGUGGGGAAUAUUGCACAAUGGGCGGAAGCCUGAUGCAGCAACGCCGCGUGCGGGAUGACGGCCUUCGGGUUGUAAACCGCUUUCGCCUGUGACGAAGCGUGAGUGACGGUAAUGGGUAAAGAAGCACCGGCUAACUACGUG